GGUAACGGGUAACGGGGUGUUAGGGCACGACACCGGAGGGGGAGCCUGAGAAACGGCUACCACAUCCAAGGAAGGCAGCAGGCGCGCAAAUUACCCAAUCCCGACAUGGGGAGGUAGUGACAAUAAAUAACAAUACAGGGUUCUUUUGGAUCUUGUAAUUGGAAUGAGUACAAUUUAAAUCUCUUAACGAGGAACAAUUGGAGGGCAAGUCUGGUGCCAGCAGCCGCGGUAAUUCCAGCUCCAAUAGCGUAUAUUAAAGUUGUUGCAGUUAAAAAGCUCGUAGUUGAAUUUCGGGAUCAAGGGAUCGGUCAUGCCUUGGUAUGUACUGGUUUUAUUGGUUCUCACCUUCUAAAGAACCAUAAUGUCAUUUAUUUGAUGUUAUGGGGAAUUAGGACUGUUACCUUGAAAAAAUUAGAGUGUUUAAAGCAAGCUUACGCUUGAAUACAUUAGCAUGGAAUAAUGAAAUAGGACAUCAGAUUCUAUUUUGUUGGUUUCUAGGAUCGAUGUAAUGAUUAAUAGGGAUAGUUGGGGGCAUUAGUAUUCAAUUGUCAGAGGUGAAAUUCUUGGAUUUAUUGAAGACUAACUACUGCGAAAGCAUUUGCCAAGGAUGUUUUCAUUAAUCAAGAACGAAAGUUAGGGGAUCGAAGACGAUCAGAUACCGUCGUAGUCUUAACCAUAAACUAUGCCGACUAGGGAUCGGAUGAUGUUA
Molecule: ribosomal RNA, 709 nt
Filed under: Septoglomus africanum
Lineage: Eukaryota; Fungi; Glomeromycota; Glomeromycetes; Glomerales; Glomeraceae
Description: SSU rRNA
Rfam family: Eukaryotic small subunit ribosomal RNA
Source: RNAcentral